GACGAUGAUCCCCAGCUUGCUGGGGGGAUUAGUGGCGAACGGGUGAGUAACACGUUGUAACCUGCCCUUAACUCUGGGAUAAGCCUGGGAAACUGGGUCUAAUACCGGAUAUGACUGAUCAUCGCAUGGUGGUUGGUGGAAAGCUUUUUGUGGUUUUGGAUGGACUCGCGGCCUAUCAGCUUGUUGGUGAGGUAAUGGCUUACCAAGGCGACGACGGGUAGCCGGCCUGAGAGGGUGACCGGCCACACUGGGACUGAGACACGGCCCAGACUCCUACGGGAGGCAGCAGUGGGGAAUAUUGCACAAUGGGCGCAAGCCUGAUGCAGCGACGCCGCGUGAGGGAUGACGGCCUUCGGGUUGUAAACCUCUUUCAGUAGGGAAGAAGCGAAAGUGACGGUACCUGCAGAAGAAGCGCCGGCUAACUACGUGCCAGCAGCCGCGGUAAUACGUAGGGCGCAAGCGUUAUCCGGAAUUAUUGGGCGUAAAGAGCUCGUAGGCGG
RNAcentral lists this ribosomal RNA (500 nucleotides) under Arthrobacter ramosus. RNAcentral describes it as "bacterial SSU rRNA". It matches the Rfam family "Bacterial small subunit ribosomal RNA", at positions 65 to 578 of the family's 1533-position model. The record is from RNAcentral. Lineage: Bacteria; Bacillati; Actinomycetota; Actinomycetes; Micrococcales; Micrococcaceae.